GACGAACGCUGGCGGCGUGCUUAACACAUGCAAGUCGACAUGAGUGGCGAACGGGUGAGUAAUACGUGGGUAACCUGCCCUACUUUUUUGGAUAAGCCUUGGAAACGGGGUCUAAUACCGAACAAAGGGGGAUGGGCUCGCGGCCUAUCCGCUUGUUGGGGGGGUGAUGGCCUACCAAGGCGGUGACGGGUCGCGGGCCUGAGAGGGGGCACUGGGACAUUGGAACUGAGAUGCGGCCCAGACUCGUACGGGAGGGGGAAGUGGGGGAAAUUGGAGAAAGGGCGAAAGCGUGAUGCAGCGACGCCGAGUGGGGGAUGAGGGCUGUCGAGUUGUAAAGCUAUUUCGCAAUCGAACGGGUAUGUGGAGAGGAAGCGCCGGCUAACUACGUGCCAGCAGCCGCGGUAAUAC
Molecule: ribosomal RNA, 408 nt
Filed under: uncultured bacterium
Lineage: Bacteria
Description: partial 16S ribosomal RNA
Rfam family: Bacterial small subunit ribosomal RNA
Source: RNAcentral